CUCAAACCAACAAACCAUGAGAUCAUCACCUGAGCCCAAAUUGGGAGUUAGACGCUUUACUGACUGAGCCACCCAGGCGCCCCCAUAUUGUAAUUUUUUAUAGGUAAACUUGAUUGGGGUCUGCUAGAACAAACUAGAUAAGUAAGGUUUGGUUACAUUAAUGCUUGAAAUGGAAAAUACAGAAAGGCAGAUGCAGAAAAAACAAAAGGCAGAACAAAUCUUGUCUUUCAUUUUACGCUUUAUAAGAAACAAUUUGGCCAAUGUCCUUGAUCACUGGUUUUCAGGUUCUAAUCAUUUUGUUCUAGAUGUGUUUUUUGAGCUCUGUAUUUGCCUGCUUUUCAGAAUUUGAGGAUUCCCCCCCCCCGUUUAUUUUUAUGAGUUAAAUGAGUUUCAUUUCAACUCAUUUUGAGCCUGCUCUUGCUACUCUGGGCUAUUUGUAAUAAUGAAAAGUUGGAGUAACUUAAAAUCAGUAGCUGUAAAUCUGAUUUUCAAAGAUAUUUGACAAGAACCCACAGUAAAAUACAUUUUUAUAUCACAGUAGUUACACGCACAUAAACUGAAAAAAUAUUUUGUUAAAUAAUACUUUUAUUUCUUGUGUUGCAAUCUCACAUUUUCUCUUCUAUUUUCUUCGAUGCUGAUCCUGAUCUACUAAAUUGAUUGCAUGAGGCCUAAGACUGGCACCUGCAAAGAGCAUAUUCCUAGCCGUUGGUGGUGACUUUUUUUCUUUAAAAAGAUGCUGCUAAGCGUCCAACAGUGCCCAGGACAGCCCUCCUAGAAUAAGGAAUUUAUCCAGCCUCAAGUAUCAGGAGUGCCCUGCUUAAGAAACUUUAGUUUAACACAAUAGGAUAUAUAUACAAAGAUUCCAUUUACAUUUUACAGACCACUAUAUCUUUUCAAUAUAAUAUAUAGUCCAGAGUAUAAAUGAUUGGCUGCGAUGAAUCAAAAGUAGGAGGGGGAAAAAAAACCC
This is a long non-coding RNA of Herpailurus yagouaroundi (jaguarundi), 967 nucleotides long. RefSeq lists it as uncharacterized. The transcript has 2 exons. NCBI's taxonomy places the organism in Eukaryota, Metazoa, Chordata, Mammalia, Carnivora, Felidae. The record is from RefSeq and is a predicted model, not a curated record.